GAUGAACGCUGGCGGCGUGCCUAAUACAUGCAAGUCGAGCGAACAGACGAGGAGCUUGCUCCUCUAACGUUAGCGGCGGACGGGUGAGUAACACGUGGAUAACCUACCUAUAAGACUGGGAUAACUUCGGGAAACCGGAGCUAAUACCGGAUAAUAUAUUGAACCGCAUGGUUCAAUAGUGAAAGACGGUUUUGCUGUCACUUAUAGAUGGAUCCGCGCCGCAUUAGCUAGUUGGUAAGGUAACAGCUUACCAAGGCAACGAUGCGUAGCCGACCUGAGAGGGUGAUCGGCCACACUGGAACUGAGACACGGUCCAGACUCCUACGGGAGGCAGCAGUAGGGAAUCUUCCGCAAUGGGCGAAAGCCUGACGGAGCAACGCCGCGUGAGUGAUGAAGGUCUUCGGAUCGUAAAACUCUGUUAUUAGGGAAGAACAAAUGUGCAAGUAACUAUGCACGUCUUGACGGUACCUAAUCAGAAAGCCACGGCUAACUACGUG
This 497-nucleotide ribosomal RNA is filed under the name uncultured bacterium. RNAcentral describes it as "partial 16S ribosomal RNA". It matches the Rfam family "Bacterial small subunit ribosomal RNA", at positions 28 to 507 of the family's 1533-position model. The record is from RNAcentral.